GAUGAACGCUGGCGGCGUGCCUAAUACAUGCAAGCCGAGCGAACGGACGAGAAGCUUGCUUCUCUGAUGUUAGCGGCGGACGGGUGAGUAACACGUGGAUAACCUACCUAUAAGACUGGGAUAACUUCGGGAAACCGGAGCUAAUACCGGAUAAUAUUUUGAACCGCAUGGUUCAAAAGUGAAAGACGGUCUUGCUGUCACUUAUAGAUGGAUCCGCGCUGCAUUAGCUAGUUGGUAAGGUAACGGCUUACCAAGGCAACGAUGCAUAGCCGACCUGAGAGGGUGAUCGGCCACACUGGAACUGAGACACGGUCCAGACUCCUACGGGAGGCAGCAGUAGGGAAUCUUCCGCAAUGGGCGAAAGCCUGACGGAGCAACGCCGCGUGAGUGAUGAAGGUCUUCGGAUCGUAGAACUCUGUUAUUAGGGAAGAACAUAUGUGUAAGUAACUGUGCACAUCUUGACGGUACCUAAUCAGAAAGCCACGGCUAACUACGUG
This 497-nucleotide ribosomal RNA is filed under the name uncultured bacterium. RNAcentral describes it as "partial 16S ribosomal RNA". It matches the Rfam family "Bacterial small subunit ribosomal RNA", at positions 28 to 507 of the family's 1533-position model. The record is from RNAcentral.